CCUGUUUUACAAAAACAUAGCCUAUAACUUAACUUUAGGUACAACCCUGCCCUCUGAAAUUUUAACAGCCGCGGUAUCCUAACCGUGCUAAGGUAGCAUAAUCAUUUGCCUAUUAAUUAUAGGCUAGCAUGAACGGGAUCACUCACUUAAAUUUAUUUUCACUACAAUUAAAAUUAAACUUUAAGUUAAAAUACUAAAUUUUUAAGAAAGACAAAAAGACCCUGAAAACUAUUAGAAGAUAAUUAGUUGGGGCAACUAUAGACCAUAAACAGCGUCUAUUAAAAUUCGAAUUUUAAAAUUCAAAGCACACAGUUACUUCAGGGAUAACAGACUAAUUGUAUUAUUUAGACCUAAUAAAUAAUAAAGAUUGGCACCUCGAUGUUGGCUUAUAAUUCCUUCAUAUAGUAACAUAUAUUGAUGGCAGCUUGUUCAUCUGAUAAAUAUUUACAUGAGCUGAGUUCAGACCGGCGUAAGCA
This 476-nucleotide ribosomal RNA is filed under the name Stygocapitella sp. 169_28. RNAcentral's name for it is "partial large subunit ribosomal RNA". It matches the Rfam family "Bacterial large subunit ribosomal RNA", at positions 1799 to 2627 of the family's 2925-position model. Lineage: Eukaryota; Metazoa; Annelida; Polychaeta; Parergodrilidae. The record is from RNAcentral.